UCCCUGUCCCAUCCUCUGUGACUGCAAAUGC
This 31-nucleotide non-coding RNA is filed under the name Homo sapiens (human). The record is from RNAcentral. Lineage: Eukaryota; Metazoa; Chordata; Mammalia; Primates; Hominidae.